This 447-nucleotide ribosomal RNA is filed under the name uncultured bacterium. RNAcentral's name for it is "partial 16S ribosomal RNA". It matches the Rfam family "Bacterial small subunit ribosomal RNA", at positions 29 to 523 of the family's 1533-position model. The record is from RNAcentral.
AACGAACGCUGGCGGCAGGCCUAAAACAUGCAAGUCGAACGAACCUUCGGGUUAGUGGCGCACGGGUGCGUAACGCGUGGGAAUAUACCUCUGGGUGCGGAACGACGUCUGGAAACGGACGCUAAUACCGCAUAAUAUCUACGGAUCAAAGAUUUAUCGCCCAGAGAUUAGCCCGCGUCUGAUCAGCUAGUUGGUGAGGUAAUGGCUCACCAAGGCGCAGAUCAGUAGCUGGUCUGAGAGGAUGAUCAGCCACACUGGAACUGAGACACGGUCCAGAGUCCGAAGGGAGGCAGCAGGGGGGAAUAUUGGACAAUGGGGGAAACCCUGAUGCAGCAAGGCCGCGUGAGUGAAGAAGGCCUUAGGGGUGUAAAGCUCUUUCGGCUGUGAAGAUAAUGACAGUAGCAGAAGAAGAAGCUCCGGCUAAAUUCGUGCCAGCCGCCGCAGUAA